CCUACGGGAGGCAGCAGUGAGGAAUAUUGGUCAAUGGACGAGAGUCUGAACCAGCCAAGUAGCGUGAAGGAUGACUGCCCUAUGGGUUGUAAACUUCUUUUAUAUGGGAAUAAAAUGAUCCACGUGUGGGAUUUUGUAUGUACCAUAUGAAUAAGGAUCGGCUAACUCCGUGCCAGCAGCCGCGGUAAUACGGAGGAUCCGAGCGUUAUCCGGAUGUAUUGGGUUUAAAGGGAGCGUAGGUGGAUUGUUAAGUCAGUUGUGAAAGUUUGCGGCUCAACCGUAAAAUUGCAGUUGAAACUGGCAGUCUUGAGUACAGUAGAGGUAGGCGGAAUUCGUGGUGUAGCGGUGAAAUGCUUAGAUAUCACGAAGAACUCCGAUUGCGAAGGCAGCUCACUGGACUGCAACUGACACUGAGGCUCGAAAGUGUGGGUAUCAAACAGGAUUAGAUACCCUAGUAGUC
Molecule: ribosomal RNA, 460 nt
Filed under: uncultured bacterium
Lineage: Bacteria
Description: partial 16S ribosomal RNA
Rfam family: Bacterial small subunit ribosomal RNA
Source: RNAcentral